GACGAACGCUGGCGCGUGCCUAACACAUGCAAGUCGAACGGGCGAUUCCUUCGGGGAUCGCUUAGUGGCGAACGGGUGAGUAACGCGUGAGGAACCUGCCUUCCAGUGGGGGACAACAGUUGGAAACGACUGCUAAUACCGCAUGACAUAUCCGAAGGGCAUCCUUUGGAUAUCAAAGCUUUAUGUGCUGGAAGAUGGCCUCGCGUCUGAUUAGAUAGUUGGUGGGGUAACGGCCUACCAAGUCGACGAUCAGUAGCCGGUCUGAGAGGAUGAACGGCCACAUUGGGACUGAGAUACGGCCCAGACUCCUACGGGAGGCAGCAGUGGGGAAUAUUGGGCAAUGGGGAAACCCUGACCCAGCAACGCCGCGUGAAGGAAGAAGGCCUUCGGGUUGUAAACUUCUUUUACCAGGGACGAAGAACGUGACGGUACCUGGAGAAAAAGCAACGGCUAACUACGUG
RNAcentral lists this ribosomal RNA (461 nucleotides) under uncultured bacterium. Its description in RNAcentral is "bacterial SSU rRNA". It matches the Rfam family "Bacterial small subunit ribosomal RNA", at positions 28 to 507 of the family's 1533-position model. The record is from RNAcentral.